UACGGAGGAUGCAAGCGUUAUCCGGAAUUAUUGGGCGUAAAGCGUCCGUAGGUGGCUUUACAAGUCAGCUGUUAAAGCGUGGAGCUUAACUCCAUAAAGGCAGUUGAAACUGUGAGGCUAGAGUGCGGUAGGGGUAAGGGGAAUUCCUAGUGUAGCGGUGAAAUGCGUAGAUAUUAGGAAGAACACCGGUGGCGAAAGCGCCUUGCUGGACCUGCACUGACACUGAGGGACGAAAGCUAGGGGAGCGAAA
RNAcentral lists this ribosomal RNA (250 nucleotides) under uncultured bacterium. RNAcentral's name for it is "partial 16S ribosomal RNA". It matches the Rfam family "Bacterial small subunit ribosomal RNA", at positions 524 to 773 of the family's 1533-position model. The record is from RNAcentral.